Molecule: ribosomal RNA, 486 nt
Filed under: uncultured bacterium
Lineage: Bacteria
Description: partial 16S ribosomal RNA
Rfam family: Bacterial small subunit ribosomal RNA
Source: RNAcentral
GAUGAACGCUAGCGGCAGGCCUAAUACAUGCAAGUCGAACGGGGGUAGCAAUACUCCAGUGGCGCACGGGUGCGUAACGCGUAGGCAAUCUGCCUACUCCUGGGGGAUAGCCCGCCGAAAGGUGGAUUAAUACCGCAUAAGACUAUAGGAUGGCAUCAUCCAGUAGUUAAAGAAUUUCGGGAGUAGAUGAGCCUGCGUGCCAUUAGCUAGUUGGUGGGGUAACGGCCCACCAAGGCGACGAUGGCUAGGGGAGCUGAGAGGCCGAUCCCCCACACUGGCACUGAGAUACGGGCCAGACUCCUACGGGAGGCAGCAGUAGGGAAUAUUGGGCAAUGGGCGCGAGCCUGACCCAGCCAUGCCGCGUGACGGAUGAAGGCCUUCUGGGUUGUAAACGUCUUUUGACCGGGAAGAAAAAGCCCUUGCGAGGGAAAUCGACGGUACCGGUUGAAUAAACACCGGCUAACUCCGUGCCAGCAGCCGCGGUAA